CCCUCUAGAAUCCUCCAACAUGGAGCCUCUUGCAGCUUACCCGCUAAAAUGUUCCGGGCCCAGAGCAAAGCUUUUAUGCCUUUGAAGUGAAGGAUGCAAAAGGAAGAACCGUUUCUCUGGAAAAGUAUAAAGGCAAAAUUCUUCAAAGAAGGAACCAAGGUGGAAUUUUUGGAAGUAUCUUGUCAACCCUGAGGGUCAAGUUGUGAAGUUCUGGAGGCCAGAGGAGCCCAUUGAAGUCAUCAGGCCUGACAUAGCAGCUCUGGACUGUACUUGAUGAAAAUGCCAACACACUAGACCACUCUUUGGAUUCAAGAGCACUGUGUAUGACUGAAAUUUCUGGAAUAACUGU
RNAcentral lists this small RNA (349 nucleotides) under Pan troglodytes (chimpanzee). RNAcentral describes it as "processed transcript". Lineage: Eukaryota; Metazoa; Chordata; Mammalia; Primates; Hominidae. The record is from RNAcentral.